UACGUAGGGUGCAAGCGUUGUCCGGAAUUAUUGGGCGUAAAGAGCUCGUAGGCGGUCUGUCGCGUCUGCUGUGAAAACUCGGGGCUUAACCCCGGGCCUGCAGUGGGUACGGGCAGACUAGAGUGCGGUAGGGGAGACUGGAAUUCCUGGUGUAGCGGUGAAAUGCGCAGAUAUCAGGAGGAACACCGGUGGCGAAGGCGGCGACCUGGGCCAAUACUGACGCUGAGGUGCGAAAGCGUGGGGAGCAAACAGG
RNAcentral lists this ribosomal RNA (253 nucleotides) under uncultured bacterium. RNAcentral's name for it is "partial 16S ribosomal RNA". It matches the Rfam family "Bacterial small subunit ribosomal RNA", at positions 524 to 776 of the family's 1533-position model. The record is from RNAcentral.